RNAcentral lists this non-coding RNA (21 nucleotides) under Caenorhabditis elegans. The record is from RNAcentral. Lineage: Eukaryota; Metazoa; Nematoda; Chromadorea; Rhabditida; Rhabditidae.
UUCUGAAAUUGGAAUUCGAAC